AACCAGAAAAAAGAAUAGAAAAGUUGUAAUUCUCAGUAUGAAUAUCAGUAAAGAAUUCUCUUUCCGCAUAGUCUUUCCGAGUUAUUAGCUACACAUAAAAUCAUUAUGGCUCAUAAUCUCUUUUAAUUACAAAUAAAGCUCUGAAGGAGUAAAAAUAUCUUAUAUUUAGAUACAAUCUUGGUCUGAAACCUAGAGUAUCUUCUAAUGAUUGUCAUCAACUAUGAGCAGCCUUGUGGAGUAUGCAUAAAAUUGUUUGACUAUGUCCAAAGAGAACAUCUUGUUGGGUUGUGCAACUCUUUGCCAUCCAUAUUGUCCACCAAGAAGUUGAACCCACAGAAAUCUUCUUCUUUUUAAGUGACAAUUUUUUUUCCAAAAUUAGUUCACUUUUAAAAGUAAUCUCCUUGAACUUUUGCUUUGCUCCUUUAGAGUAAAACUUGUUGCUUUGGAGGUUGAUUUGGACUCUUUGGCAACCUUCUUGCCUUUGCUUGAAGAAUGUCUUCUAAUCCUACAAAAUUUUAUUAACAUGCAAUUUCCAAUUCUAGGAGUUAAUCACAUAAAUUCAAGGCAUUAUUUGAAGGUGAUUGAUCAACAAUUUUCACAAAUGGUGUUGAAACAAGUUUUAAACUCAAGUCUUGGUUUGAGCAUAACAUCCAAGUUAAGAAAGUGUUUCAAAACUUUUGUGGGAUGGCUUAUAUUAUUUUAGCAACUCAAAACAGCACCAUAAACAUAAUUUAUUCAACAUUUUCAACACAUUACUCCAAGUAAAAAAAUUGGGUUCAUGAUAAUCAACAAGACAAAACAUCACUGCAAGAAAUUUUGCAAAACUUUCAAAAGAGUCAAACUUUGCACCUAUGGAUUUUAAUGGUUAAUUUUCCUUUCUGCAUGUCUCAAAUGAGUUUUAUGCCAUGCUGAAGUAAAUUGUCCAGCCACAAAACUGAAUUUUAAUGUGGCUUCAAUUUGAAAAUUUAAGCAUGAUUUUGGCUAGAAACUAAUUCUCAUCCUCCAAGCAUAUUUACCAUUCAAUUGAACCAUUUUUGAAAUCAAAUUUGAGUGGCCUAACAGCAGCCCCAUUUUUACUUAGCCGCUCUUUAUGAAACUAAGUUAUUUUAAGGAAAAAUGACCAUAAAAAAUGUGGUUUAACCGAAGGCAUGUUUGUGUUAGAAAAUAUAGAAAUUUUUUCUACGUCAAAACAUGGAUUUUCUUCACUUUUUAAGCAUUUUUGUGAGAGCUUGCUUCAUCUUUAAAAUCAUGUCUUCAACAUAACAACCACACAUAUUUAAUUUCAAAACAAUCAUGUCUUCACUUUUUGAAACUUUUGAUUUGGGAUUUGCUUGAAAACAUUUUGAUUUUGUUUGUAGAAAUUUUCCCAAACAAAACGUUUCAAGGAAGAACAUAAUCUAAUGAAAAACAAAGCUUUAUAAGAAGAAGAAUGAGAUACUUAAACGAUGAGAGAAUGAAGCUUGAACUUUUGAGAGGUUUUAAGAGCUUCUCGAGAGAAUGGAAAAAAAAUCAAAAUGAGAGUUAUGAGUCGUACGAAGUAUUUAAAGUUGUCAAAAAG
This 1558-nucleotide long non-coding RNA is filed under the name Lupinus angustifolius (narrow-leaved blue lupine). Its description in RNAcentral is "long non-coding RNA (LANG_LNC002231)". Lineage: Eukaryota; Viridiplantae; Streptophyta; Magnoliopsida; Fabales; Fabaceae. The record is from RNAcentral.